RNAcentral lists this ribosomal RNA (785 nucleotides) under uncultured bacterium. Its description in RNAcentral is "bacterial SSU rRNA". It matches the Rfam family "Bacterial small subunit ribosomal RNA", at positions 601 to 1387 of the family's 1533-position model. The record is from RNAcentral.
CCCCGGGCUCAACCUGGGAACUGCGUUNUGAACUGGGUGACUAGAGUGUGUCAGAGGGAGGUAGAAUUCCACGUGUAGCAGUGAAAUGCGUAGAGAUGUGGAGGAAUACCGAUGGCGAAGGCAGCCUCCUGGGAUAACACUGACGUUCAUGCCCGAAAGCGUGGGUAGCAAACAGGAUUAGAUACCCUGGUAGUCCACGCCCUAAACGAUGUCGAUUAGCUGUUGGGCAGCAUGACUGCUUAGUAGCGAAGCUAACGCGUGAAAUCGACCGCCUGGGGAGUACGGUCGCAAGAUUAAAACUCAAAGGAAUUGACGGGGACCCGCACAAGCGGUGGAUGAUGUGGAUUAAUUCGAUGCAACGCGAAGAACCUUACCUGGUCUUGACAUGUACGGAACCCUCCAGAGACGGAGGGGUGCCUUCGGGAGCCGUAACACAGGUGCUGCAUGGCUGUCGUCAGCUCGUGUCGUGAGAUGUUGGGUUAAGUCCCGCAACGAGCGCAACCCUUGUCAUUAGUUGCCAUCAUUAAGUUGGGCACUCUAAUGAGACUGCCGGUGACAAGCCGGAGGAAGGUGGGGAUGACGUCAAGUCCUCAUGGCCCUUAUGACCAGGGCUUCACACGUCAUACAAUGGUCGGUACAGAGGGUAGCCAAGCCGCGAGGUGGAGCCAAUCUCACAAAACCGAUCGUAGUCCGGAUUGCACUCUGCAACUCGAGUGCAUGAAGUCGGAAUCGCUAGUAAUCGCAGGUCAGCAUACUGCGGUGAAUACGUUCCCGGGUCUUGUACA